RNAcentral lists this ribosomal RNA (433 nucleotides) under uncultured bacterium. RNAcentral describes it as "partial 16S ribosomal RNA". It matches the Rfam family "Bacterial small subunit ribosomal RNA", at positions 29 to 507 of the family's 1533-position model. The record is from RNAcentral.
AGCGAACGCUGGCGGCAGGCUUAACACAUGCUAGUCGAGCGGGCCUUUCGGGGUCAGCGGCGGACGGGUGAGUAACGCGUGGGAACGUGCCCUCUGGUUCGGAAUAACUCAGGGAAACUUGAGCUAAUACCGGAUACGCCCUUUUGGGGAAAGGCUUGCUGCCGGAGGAUCGGCCCGCGUCUGAUUAGCUAGUUGGUGAGGUAACGGCUCACCAAGGCGACGAUCAGUAGCUGGUCUGAGAGGAUGAUCAGCCACACUGGGACUGAGACACGGCCCAGACUCCUACGGGAAGCAGCAGUGGGGAAUAUUGGACAAUGGGCGCAAGCCUGAUCCAGCCAUGCCGCGUGAGUGAUGAAGGCCUUAGGGUUGUAAAGCUCUUUUAUCCGGGACGAUAAUGACGGUACCGGAGGAAUAAGCCCCGGCUAACUUCGUG